RNAcentral lists this long non-coding RNA (1649 nucleotides) under Setaria viridis. RNAcentral's name for it is "long non-coding RNA (SVIR_LNC006124)". Lineage: Eukaryota; Viridiplantae; Streptophyta; Magnoliopsida; Poales; Poaceae. The record is from RNAcentral.
UUCACCCCAUAAAGGGUGCAAAAAUGGCUUUCUGGUCACAAUGACGUCUUCAAAGCUUUGCUCUUCAGAACUUCAAAUUUGUCCCUUCACAUGAUGCAAUGGCUAAGCUUCAAUCUAGCUCUGAGAACACUUCUCUUCUAUAUGCCUGUAUGGCUGUAUGCCUGUGUAGUAUACGUUUAGUCACGGAUUAGGUGCUCUGUGUGUUGUAUGGCCACAGCAAACUAGGCCAUUGUGCAGUGACUACGUCAAGUCAUUUGGUUGCUUAUUGCUGUCAUCCACAUUCUGUACAUCUGUUGUGCCACAUUCUAGGAGUGGCAUUUCGGUUGCAUUGGAAACCUCAGGAGAAGCUAACUCUUUCUUCGUACUUUGCACACCUGUAGCUCGUGCAAGAUCAAUCCAUUGCUGCAAGAAACAUGGUGUCAGUAAAGCAAGACGUAGUCAAGUGCUAUAAUGCAAUGUGUUUAUGGAGUUGGAGACUAGAGAAUCCAAAUCUUUUUAUUGUAAGAUUUUGGUUUCCUUGGAGAUAUUCAACAUAAUUUAUCAAGAAAAUAAACUAUUGACUGGUAAUGAACACUGAUGGUUCCCUUUACCUCAGUUGAACCAGGACCAGACUGAGAUCAGAAAUGCUGAAGUUCAUGAAGCACAGUUGAACAGGCCAGAUAAAAGUGCCAGCACCCAGAAUGAAAAAAAUAGCAAACGGUUCCAGAGUCCAGACUAGGAAUGCUAGCAGACUGAGUUGCCUCCCAUGGAACAAUUUAGUUAGGAUAAUUUUUACUAAUAACUAUGCCUACAAAUUGAGCCGCCAAUUAAGUAGGGAGUCAAGCAGUCAACCGCCAAUUAAUUGGAACUGGAGGGCUGCCCACUUACAUACCUUAUUCUACACGUCUUUGGUCCUAUGCUAAAAACAAGAAAGAGAAUAUACACUCAUUUGCAUUUUUUUCGUUCCAAGAAAGGAGAAAACUUGUUUGUGCCAUUCAGCCAGCUUGAGAAUGCAAAUUAAAUACCAAAACAUUAUCAGCUAAAUGUAAAGUGCAGAAGUGGCAAACCUGUGUUCCCCAGUAUGAAUUAAUUAUCCUUGAAACAAAGGACAGCAGGCUAGCAAGAAGUGGCUGGUUAUAGUAGGCCAUCAGAUGCUCUCCUAGUCGAUGCUCAAUCAGACCAGCUAUGACCUGAAGCAUGUUUAUUGGAAAAGUUAAACACUCUUGUGAAAAAUGGGAUAACUGAUAAGGUACAUGUGCUUAGAAAUGGAAAUAGCAGUUUCAGACUUUCAGGAUUUAGUUGGAAAUAAUAGUUUCUGCAAUCUAAUGCAUCAAAGUUGCUGAUUACUGAUGAGGUGCAGUAGCAAGGCCUCAUUUUUAAUGUUACCAACUUCAUAUUCUCAGCAUGUUAUAUUACAACACAUUUUAACCAUUCCUUGCAUGUGCCCUGGUCUAUGCAACCAAUGACAAAAUAGCUCUUCAUAGAUAAUCAGCACUUAAGUGAACAGAGUGAUGCUCUCGGCAAACUACCUGGUAUCGCAGGUUUGCUGAUGUUCCAAGGAAGCAACUAUAAACAGUUGCUGAUUUCCAGAUCGGAGAUCUUUUGCGCCCCACUUCCAUACUUGCAGAAGGUUUCAGAAUUUGGCGAGCACCAUAUAAGACAUCUGAAGC